CGUGUAGGUGGUUUAGUAAGUCUGGCGUGAAAUUUUUCGGCUUAACCGGGAAAGGUCGUCGGAUACUGCAAGACUAGAGGACGGUAGAGGCGUGUGGAAUUCCGGGUGUAGUGGUGAAAUGCGUAGAGAUCCGGAGGAACACCAGUGGCGAAGGCGACACGCUGGGCCGUACCUGACACUGAUGCGCGACAGCAUGGGGAGCAAACAG
RNAcentral lists this ribosomal RNA (208 nucleotides) under uncultured bacterium. Its description in RNAcentral is "partial 16S ribosomal RNA". It matches the Rfam family "Bacterial small subunit ribosomal RNA", at positions 568 to 775 of the family's 1533-position model. The record is from RNAcentral.